UCAAAUCAAAUGCUUUGCAGUUGUGGAAGGAGAACUUGUGUCAUGUGCGUUCGACAACAAGAUCUGGAGAGUAUCUCUGCUUGGAGAUCAAUGUGGAGAUGCAAAUUCUAUAGAUGUUGGCACCCAACCUAAGGACUUAAGCCUUGCCCUUAAUUCUCCUGAAGUGACUUUAGUUUCGUUUGAAACUGGAGUCAUUCUUCUCCGUGGUACAAAAGUGCUGUCAACCAUAAACCUUGGAUUUACGGUGACGGCAUCUGUUAUUUCACCUGAUGGAACUGAAGCAAUAGUGGGUGGUCAGGAUGGUAAACUUCAUUUGUAUUCCAUCGCGGGUGAUAGUCUCAAUGAAGAGGUUGUCCUUGAAAAACACAGGGGAGCUAUUACCAUUAUUCGGUACUCUCCAGAUGUUUCCAUGUUUGCAUCAGCAGAUGUGAACCGAGAAGCUGUUGUCUGGGAUCGUGCAUCUCGUGAGGUUAAACUUAAUAAUAUGUUAUACCAUACUGCCCGAAUAAAUUGCCUGGAUUGGUCACCUGAUAACACAAUGGUAGCUACUGGAUCCCUAGACACAUGUGUUAUAAUAUAUGACGUCAGCAAGCCAGCAUCGCAUAGAAUCACUAUUAAAGGAGCUCAUUUGGGUGGAGUAUAUGGACUAGCUUUUACUGAUGAACGCAGUAUAGUGAGUUCUGGCGAGGAUGCUUGUGUUCGUGUAUGGGGAAUCACUCCACAGUAACUGAGAGGUUUUAAAUUGACAAGUAUCAAUGAUAAGCAAUUCGGUUGUUCAUAUUUGCACAUUAGGUUAUCAACUGGAACACAGUUCAAAUAUUGAAAUGUUCGUUUGGCCUCAAUUGCGGACAGCUCAUGAAUGGUGCCAAUAGUUGUAACCAUGGUAAUAAGAAACCACCAAGUUAAAGAGUUCUUCCGAAGGGAUCAUAACUUCCUGUAUCCAAAAGAGGUACUCUUAUUUUCUCAUAGAUUAAAAAAAAUAAAUCAAAAAGUUAUAGUUGGAUUGUUUUCGACCAUGGAAAGCAUCAACAUGCUGUGGAGUUGGUGUUUUGAGUCUUUUGUCCUGGUGCAUCACAAAACCCUUAGCAGCCAUUAUGGUUUUGCUUCUUACAUUUGUACGUAUGCGUUGAUUUUAUAUAAUUUGUCAUUCCAAUUAUAGGUUUUUGGUUAGAGUUCCAUGUUUUAGUGCUUACGAUGAUGCAAGUGUGAUCUUAUUGCUCAGGCUUUAUUUAUAGGGAUUUGCAGUUUUUUGGUCCUAUUUGUAAGUUGUGACGUCUUUUCAGUUAUGUUGCCCUUUGAUUGUGCUACUUUUUUCACGGGAAAUGGUCAUCUUUCUGCUAUAUUUG
Molecule: unclassified non-coding RNA, 1346 nt
Filed under: Hevea brasiliensis (rubber tree)
Lineage: Eukaryota; Viridiplantae; Streptophyta; Magnoliopsida; Malpighiales; Euphorbiaceae
Source: RNAcentral